GACGAACGCUGGCGGCGUGCUUAACACAUGCAAGUCGAACGGAAAGGCCCUGCUUUUGUGGGGUGCUCGAGUGGCGAACGGGUGAGUAACACGUGAGUAACCUGCCCUUGACUUUGGGAUAACUUCAGGAAACUGGGGCUAAUACCGGAUAGGAGCUCCUGCUGCAUGGUGGGGGUUGGAAAGUUUCGGCGGUUGGGGAUGGACUCGCGGCUUAUCAGCUUGUUGGUGGGGUAGUGGCUUACCAAGGCUUUGACGGGUAGCCGGCCUGAGAGAGUGACCGGCCACAUUGGGACUGAGAUACGGCCCAGACUCCUACGGGAGGCAGCAGUGGGGAAUAUUGCACAAUGGGCGGAAGCCUGAUGCAGCAACGCCGCGUGCGGGAUGACGGCCUUCGGGUUGUAAACCGCUUUCGCCUGCGACGAAGCGUGAGUGACGGUAAUGGGUAAAGAAGCACCGGCUAACUACGUG
RNAcentral lists this ribosomal RNA (468 nucleotides) under uncultured bacterium. Its description in RNAcentral is "partial 16S ribosomal RNA". It matches the Rfam family "Bacterial small subunit ribosomal RNA", at positions 28 to 507 of the family's 1533-position model. The record is from RNAcentral.